ACACCAUGGAGUGCAGGGUAAGCCCUAGAGCGUAACCGCUGUUGGUGCUGCUCCGAGCUGGCCUCUCACUGGUCACAUAACCUGUAACCACAGUUAUAGCGGUGGAUGCAUGCAGAUGACACGACAGCCCCUUCUAACAGAGGUUUAGAGUGGUGAAACUGAGGAGUAAUCCCAGCUCCAAAUUCCAGUUUGACCCAAGUCAAGAAGCAUACUUCUAGACAUUUCAAUCAAAAUUCUGUUCUUUCUCUUUGCCACUCCAUUUUCCUCUGAGUAUAAGUCUGUUUCACACAGUUUACCAUCUUUCAACAUGCCUUUGAUCAGACAUUUUCCUUCUUUGAAAAUAAAGCAAUGGUCCCUUCUGAAAAUAACUCUACAAUCAUCCAUGCCAUGUAGCUGUUUUUACACUCAUUAAACUGUUUUGCAUACUUGGAACAUAGUAUGCCCCUGUAAUGCAUACUCCAUUCACUCUGUUUGCACCAAGUUCACACUUCAGAUAAACUGUCCUGCAAAGAUUUGCUGCCUGAUAGCAAUGUAUAUAAGACUUUUAUGUCCCAUGCUUAUCUCAGAGAAAUAUUGCAAAUUAUUGAAGAAAUGUGAAGUAGCUCCAGUAUUCAAAUAUAUUUUGUUUCUACUUUGACUUGCAUAACCUUGCAGAUUGUUUCUUUUGCA
Molecule: long non-coding RNA, 669 nt
Organism: Hemicordylus capensis (graceful crag lizard)
Lineage: Eukaryota; Metazoa; Chordata; Lepidosauria; Squamata; Cordylidae
Exons: 3
Source: RefSeq, a predicted model, not a curated record